UAGAUAUUAGAAAGAAUACCAAUUGCGAAGGCAGCUUUCUGGAUCAUUACUGACACUGAGGAACGAAAGCAUGGGUAGCGAAGAGGAUUAGAUACCCUCGUAGUCCAUGCCGUAAACGAUGUGUGUUAGACGUUGGAAAUUUAUUUUCAGUGUCGCAGCGAAAGCAUUAAACACACCGCCUGGGGAGUACGACCGCAAGGUUAAAACUCAAAUGAAUUGACGGGGACCCGCACAAGUAGUGGAGCAUGUGGUUUAAUUCGAAGAUACGCGCAGAACCUUACCAACACUUGACAUGUUCGUCGCGACUUUAAGAGAUUAAAGUUUUCGGUUCGGCCGGACGAAACACAGGUGCUGCAUGGCUGUCGUCAGCUCGUGUCGUGAGAUGUUGGGUUAAGUCCCGCAACGAGCGCAACCCUCACUUUUAGUUGCCAUCAUUUAGUUGGGCACUCUGAAAGAACUGCCAGUGAUAAGCUGGAGGAAGGUGGGGAUGACGUCAAGUCCUCAUGGCCCUUACGUGUUGGGCUACACACGUGCUACAAUGGCAUUUACAAUAGGAAGCAAGAUGGCGACGUCAAGCAAAUCCUAAAAAAAUGCCUCAGUUCGGAUUGUACUCUGCAACUCGAGUACAUGAAGCUGGAAUUACUAGUAAUCGCGGAUCAGCGCGCCGCGGUGAAUACGUUCCCGGGUCUUGUACACACCGCCCGUCACACCAUGGGAGUUGGUUCUACCUUAAGGCAAGGUUUAAAACCCUUGACCACGGUAUAGUCAGCGACUGGGGUGAAGUCGUAACAAGGUAGCCGUAGGGGAACCUGCGGCUG
Molecule: ribosomal RNA, 818 nt
Filed under: marine metagenome
Description: bacterial SSU rRNA
Rfam family: Bacterial small subunit ribosomal RNA
Source: RNAcentral